This 465-nucleotide ribosomal RNA is filed under the name Vreelandella stevensii. RNAcentral's name for it is "partial 16S ribosomal RNA". It matches the Rfam family "Bacterial small subunit ribosomal RNA", at positions 338 to 795 of the family's 1533-position model. The record is from RNAcentral. Lineage: Bacteria; Pseudomonadati; Pseudomonadota; Gammaproteobacteria; Oceanospirillales; Halomonadaceae.
CCUACGAGGCGCAGCAGUGGGGAAUAUUGGACAAUGGGCGAAAGCCUGAUCCAGCCAUGCCGCGUGUGUGAAGAAGGCCUUCGGGUUGUAAAGCACUUUCAGUGGGGAAGAAAGCCUUGGGGCUAAUACCCUCGAGGAAGGACAUCACCCACAGAAGAAGCACCGGCUAACUCCGUGCCAGCAGCCGCGGUAAUACGGAGGGUGCGAGCGUUAAUCGGAAUUACUGGGCGUAAAGCGCGCGUAGGCGGUCUGAUAAGCCGGUUGUGAAAGCCCCGGGCUCAACCUGGGAACGGCAUCCGGAACUGUCAGGCUAGAGUGCAGGAGAGGAAGGUAGAAUUCCCGGUGUAGCGGUGAAAUGCGUAGAGAUCGGGAGGAAUACCAGUGGCGAAGGCGGCCUUCUGGACUGACACUGACGCUGAGGUGCGAAAGCGUGGGUAGCAAACAGGAUUAGAUACCCUGGUAGUC